AAACCGGUGUUCUUACUGCGCAAGUUCAUGUAACUUUAAAACAAUCCAAUCCAAUCCGCUCAAGUUUAAAAAUGGCCGCGGCGUCUCCGUGUCCCGUUGUCGCCGAUUCGGAUGACGAAAUGUCGAAGAGAUUUCCACUGCUCUUUCCGAUGAAUGAGUCCUGCACAGAGUACAAAGGCUUCCUGGAGGUUUUGGACGAGCACUUCUACGUUCACCUGAGUGCCGCUGAUCCGGCCGAGCCGAAUACUUACUCCCUGAAUGGAGACUGGAGUCUUCACGAGCUGGUAACGGCUUCUGGCAAGGCCUUCGAACAGAUUCUUGGGAAGUGCAAGUCGCUCAGUCAUUUUCUGAUGGAAUUCUGCAACAUGAUGGAAUUAACUCUCAAGGCCCAAGGGGAGCCAGAGAAGUUUCAGCGGGCCCCCGAAAUCCUCACCAGAAUCUUGAGCGACUUGGAGCACUGUGGCUGGCACAACUUGGGACAUUUGAGUGUGGCUGGGGAUGAGAUCCAGCUCAACUACAUUGAUAGUAGAAAGCAGAAGCACUGGCUCAAGGUCCACCUGAGCCCAGAGUUUCCCGCGGAAGCUCCCAGUUAUGACACGGACCUGCCGGUGGUUUUCGAAUUCCAGUGGCACAAGGGCCAAACGCUGGCGGCUGUCUUUGAGGCCUUCGCACGCCAGGCAGACCGGCUGGUGCCUUUCUGGGAGGCCGCAGCUGACCUCGACGCACGCUGCUGGGUCCUCGAUCCCCCGUGUCCUAGGGCGGGAGAUGCGUACCGCCGGAUCGCGCUAGGCAAGAACGUAUCGAUGAUGGUGGUCAUCGAUCCGCACACACCGAUGACCUUACCUCGCCUGGAGUUUACAGGGCCAGAGGCGGAGGUCAGCCUCCAUGAGAAGGCUGUCCAGGACAAUGUGGACAAAUGGGACCCCAGUGCGUCCAUCUCGGCCAACCUGUCGGCUUUGCUGGGAUUUGAGGUGCCUUCCAGGGAAAAUGCGACGUCUGAGUUCCGGACGAGCUGUGCCAGAACUUCCGCUGUUCGCGGCCUUUCCACCAGAGCUGCCUCUCCGAGUGGAUGAGGUCUCUGCCCAUGGUCAGACAGAACUUCAACAUGUUCUUCGGGGAGUGUCCCUACUGUUCGGAGCCGAUGUCGUGCAGGAUGUAGGAGCAAAGACGUCGCAAGGCAUUAUUGUCCAAGGGAGAAGAUGGCCGCAUACUGACGUUUAUAUGAGUCGAGAUAACUAAGUUAUAGUAGUGUAGAAGCUGAGGGCUUUGCAGUGCUUCAUAAUUUGGAAAAAGAUUCUUGCUUAAGUCUUGAAAUUGAUUCUUUCACUCUAGAUAACAGUCGAAUUAUGUACUUUUGCAAUCCCAAUUGUAUAAACAGUCAACAUCUGCACAACUGCACUGUUGAGAAGUAAGAGUGCUCUGUACUUCUGCUUUAAGUAUUUUGUAAAAUUUUACUAUUAGGUAUAUAAUUGUACUUAACUUACACAGUACUAUUGUCUAGGACUUUAUGGGGAAAAUAUAAUAGAGGGCUCCUAAGUAAGCGUCCAAUGAUUUUUCACGCCAACUUGUGGACGAAGCAAUGCUUAGUCAGUCGUCGCACGAUACUGGGAACGAACAUGAAUGUUGCUUCUGGCAUUUGUAUGUUACCUUGAGUGAUCAUUUCAUCUUCAAUGCAUUGUAGGAAAGAAAUUGUGUGGUCUUUUGAUAUAUUUACCUGCUUUUGAAAUAAAAACACAUUGACAAAGCAACA
This 1750-nucleotide unclassified non-coding RNA is filed under the name Ixodes scapularis (black-legged tick). Its description in RNAcentral is "e3 ubiquitin-protein ligase FANCL, transcript variant X1". Lineage: Eukaryota; Metazoa; Arthropoda; Arachnida; Ixodida; Ixodidae. The record is from RNAcentral.